Molecule: ribosomal RNA, 1499 nt
Filed under: Perlucidibaca sp. SS11.18
Lineage: Bacteria; Pseudomonadati; Pseudomonadota; Gammaproteobacteria; Pseudomonadales; Perlucidibacaceae
Description: bacterial SSU rRNA
Rfam family: Bacterial small subunit ribosomal RNA
Source: RNAcentral
AGAGUUUGAUCCUGGCUCAGAUUGAACGCUGGCGGCAGGCUUAACACAUGCAAGUCGAACGAAGUGUUGGUGCUUGCACUAACACUUAGUGGCGAACGGGUGAGUAAUACUUGGGAAUCUGCCUUGUAGCGGGGGAUAACGUUUCGAAAGGAACGCUAAUACCGCAUACGUCCUACGGGAGAAAGGAGGGGAUCUUCGGACCUUCCACUAUAAGAUGAGCCCAAGCGAGAUUAGCUAGUUGGUAAGGUAAAGGCUUACCAAGGCGACGAUCUCUAGCUGGUCUGAGAGGAUGAUCAGCCACACUGGGACUGAGACACGGCCCAGACUCCUACGGGAGGCAGCAGUGGGGAAUAUUGGACAAUGGGCGAAAGCCUGAUCCAGCCAUGCCGCGUGUGUGAAGAAGGCCUUCGGGUUGUAAAGCACUUUAAGCGAGGAGGAAUGGCUCUGGGUUAAUACCCUUGAGCAGUGACGUUACUCGCAGAAUAAGCACCGGCUAACUCUGUGCCAGCAGCCGCGGUAAUACAGAGGGUGCAAGCGUUAAUCGGAAUUACUGGGCGUAAAGCGCGCGUAGGCGGUUACGUAAGUUGGAGGUGAAAUCCCCGAGCUCAACUUGGGAAUUGCCUUCAAAACUGCGUGGCUAGAGUGUGGGAGAGGAAGGUAGAAUUCCAGGUGUAGCGGUGAAAUGCGUAGAUAUCUGGAGGAAUACCGAUGGCGAAGGCAGCCUUUCUGGCCUAACACUGACGCUGAGGUGCGAAAGCAUGGGGAGCAAACAGGAUUAGAUACCCUGGUAGUCCAUGCCGUAAACGAUGUCUACUAGCCGUUGGGGGACUUGAUCCUUUAGUGGCGCAGCUAACGCAUUAAGUAGACCGCCUGGGGAGUACGGUCGCAAGACUAAAACUCAAAUGAAUUGACGGGGGCCCGCACAAGCGGUGGAGCAUGUGGUUUAAUUCGAUGCAACGCGAAGAACCUUACCUGGCCUUGACAUGUCUGGAAUCCUGUAGAGAUACGGGAGUGCCUUCGGGAAUCAGAACACAGGUGCUGCAUGGCUGUCGUCAGCUCGUGUCGUGAGAUGUUGGGUUAAGUCCCGCAACGAGCGCAACCCUUGUCCUUAGUUGCCAGCACGUAAUGGUGGGAACUCUAGGGAGACUGCCGGUGACAAACCGGAGGAAGGCGGGGACGACGUCAAGUCAUCAUGGCCCUUACGGCCAGGGCUACACACGUGCUACAAUGGUCGGUACAAAGGGUUGCCAACUCGCGAGAGUGCGCUAAUCUCAAAAAGCCGAUCGUAGUCCGGAUUGGAGUCUGCAACUCGACUCCAUGAAGUCGGAAUCGCUAGUAAUCGCGGAUCAGAAUGCCGCGGUGAAUACGUUCCCGGGCCUUGUACACACCGCCCGUCACACCAUGGGAGUUUACUGCACCAGAAGUAGUUAGCCUAACCGCAAGGAGGGCGAUUACCACGGUGUGGUCAAUGACUGGGGUGAAGUCGUAACAAGGUAACC